RNAcentral lists this long non-coding RNA (2665 nucleotides) under Lupinus angustifolius (narrow-leaved blue lupine). RNAcentral's name for it is "long non-coding RNA (LANG_LNC000369)". The record is from RNAcentral. Lineage: Eukaryota; Viridiplantae; Streptophyta; Magnoliopsida; Fabales; Fabaceae.
AAAUUGUGAAGUUAUGUCCAUCACCACAGCUUGAUCACUAAAUAAGAAAAUCAUUCAUUAUUUUUCAAACUGCAAAUGAGAAGGAAGUAAGAGAUAAAGAUGCUAACUGAUCAUGCUAUGCUAGCUUUAGAUUAUUGACUUCACCAUUGACCCGCUACUUAAGUUUAAAAUUAUGGAUUCGGAUUGAUUCCAAUGUGAAUACUACAAUUUUAAAAAACAGCCACGUUGUAGAAGUUAUUUCAUGCUGAUGUUCAACAAAUCAACAUGGAGGACAUCAUAAAACUACAGAUGACUCAAAUUGUGAACUGAAUUCAUAAUCAAAUUAAAUAAAUAUAAUUCGUGGGAAUGUUUGUAGCAAUAAAACAUAUGUCAGAAUGCAUCUAGCAUUACCUUCAGAAAAAUUAUAGCUUUCAUCUAAAAAGUCAAUAUAUAAUUCAAUUUUCAUGUACUUGUUUCAUUAAUGAAGAUCAAGAUACCCAACAAGAUAUUUUGUGAUAAUCGAAUAAAAAUUUAGCAUCUACAAACAUGAACAAAAUUAACAAAAUACUUAAACCACAUCUCAAUUCUCUCACCUUGCUAGGCUUUAUCCAGAAACCAACUUUAAAAUAAUGCAGAUGGAGUUGAGAAUUAUAAGAGGAACUCUUAGGUACUGAAUCGCAUAUAUGAGACCUAAAACCUGGCCCUUGAAAGUUUUUGUCCUGUUGCCGGAAAAAUCUGAUAAGCCCCAUCCUCUAGGUGCAAGAAAGCGGUCAUCAUUUAGUAUUGCCAGUGAAUUUGCAAGCAGCAGGAACCCCUCAACUAAUGUCCACAAACCCAUUUCCCUGCAUUGCGAGGAAACCCAACCCAAGUCAAAUAAGUUCAAGUCAUUUUCCCUUUCUCUUUCAUAUACAGUUCAACUAUUAACAUUAGUAGAGAACAACAGAUGACUAUGACAAGUCAUAAGAAGCUUCCUCAUGAAAGGCUGGUGUUGAUCACCGCUGAAGCCCCUCCUCAUAAAUCAUCUCAGUAUAGGGGUCACAAUAAGUUCUUAAAAGCAAGGCAGGCUUAAUUUGAAUUCAUCAAACCAAAUACAGUUCUUUGAUAUUCUUUAAAUUAAAACAUUACUAAUGAAUUAUUGCAUAUACGAAGAGUAUUUGAUGCUUUACAGAUCACAUAAAACUAUGCACUGGCUACUCAGAAUGAAGAUCAAGUUCAUUUAAGAGCAUCUACUGCUAUAUGCACAAAUAAAAUCAUGGGAAUUGUAAAAUUAGGUUCCCAAGAAGAUCUGUGUGCAGUUUCCUUUCUCAGGGCUAAACAUUAUAUAAAGAUAAUAGAAAACAAACCACAUGGAGUUAGAGAACAAGGAUAGAGAUGUGACUAAAUGAAUGGAGACAAUCUAGAAAUCAACUUAAGUUCAAAAUUAAAACAAUAAAAUUGUUAGAGGAAAAUAAAAUCCUCUAAUUUGUUUUAGAAAACUCUCAUUGACAAGCGCUUAGUUAAACUAUUCACUCCAGCUGCAAUAAAUCAUAUCAGUUUGUAAAAGUUACACUCUACCAGCAUCGUUGGGACACAUGUCAGCAAUCAUGUAAGAAGCAAUAGAAAAACAAAUUGGGAAUUUUUUUGUAUAAUCCCCUCACCCUAUGAAUUUACGACAGAUACUUAAAUAUCAAUAUCUCAAAAAGAGAAAACGUUUAAUGAAUAUUUCUACAAUAGAACUGGUCAAACUCUCCAAGGUAAGAACAUCUUGAAUCACCUGAUGAGAACUCUAGUACCUGCAAACAAAUCAAUAUGAAACUGAAAGAGUGUUGCAAGUGAAAUUGUGAAGUUAUGUCCAUCACCACAGCUUGAUCACUAAAUAAGAAAAUCAUUCAUUAUUUUUCAAACUGCAAAUGAGAAGGAAGUAAGAGAUAAAGAUGCUAACUGAUCAUGCUAUGCUAGCUUUAGAUUAUUGACUUCACCAUUGACCCGCUACUUAAGUUUAAAAUUAUGGAUUCGGAUUGAUUCCAAUGUGAAUACUACAAUUUUAAAAAACAGCCACGUUGUAGAAGUUAUUUCAUGCUGAUGUUCAACAAAUCAACAUGGAGGACAUCAUAAAACUACAGAUGACUCAAAUUGUGAACUGAAUUCAUAAUCAAAUUAAAUAAAUAUAAUUCGUGGGAAUGUUUGUAGCAAUAAAACAUAUGUCAGAAUGCAUCUAGCAUUACCUUCAGAAAAAUUAUAGCUUUCAUCUAAAAAGUCAAUAUAUAAUUCAAUUUUCAUGUACUUGUUUCAUUAAUGAAGAUCAAGAUACCCAACAAGAUAUUUUGUGAUAAUCGAAUAAAAAUUUAGCAUCUACAAACAUGAACAAAAUUAACAAAAUACUUAAACCACAUCUCAAUUCUCUCACCUUGCUAGGCUUUAUCCAGAAACCAACUUUAAAAUAAUGCAGAUGGAGUUGAGAAUUAUAAGAGGAACUCUUAGGUACUGAAUCGCAUAUAUGAGACCUAAAACCUGGCCCUUGAAAGUUUUUGUCCUGUUGCCGGAAAAAUCUGAUAAGCCCCAUCCUCUAGGUGCAAGAAAGCGGUCAUCAUUUAGUAUUGCCAGUGAAUUUGCAAGCAGCAGGAACCCCUCAACUAAUGUCCACAAACCCAUUUCCCUGCAUUGCGAGGAAACCCAACCCAAGUCAAAUAAGUUCAAGUCAUUUUCC